This is a long non-coding RNA of Strigops habroptila (Kakapo), 93 nucleotides long. RefSeq lists it as uncharacterized. Lineage: Eukaryota; Metazoa; Chordata; Aves; Psittaciformes; Psittacidae. The record is from RefSeq and is a predicted model, not a curated record. The transcript has 3 exons.
GCACCAGAAGCACAGCCCGGCAGCAGAGCCCCUGCCCCGCCACGGCCUGGCUGUCCCAGAACCUGUUGAUGAAGUUGCCCAGGUUGUUCAGCA